GAUGAACGCUGGCGGCGUGCCUAAUACAUGCAAGUCGAGCGAACAGAUAAGGAGCUUGCUCCUUUGACGUUAGCGGCGGACGGGUGAGUAACACGUGGAUAACCUACCUAUAAGACUGGGAUAACUUCGGGAAACCGGAGCUAAUACCGGAUAACAUAUUGAACCGCAUGGUUCAAUAGUGAAAGGCGGCUUUGCUGUCACUUAUAGAUGGAUCCGCGCCGUAUUAGCUAGUUGGUAAGGUAACGGCUUACCAAGGCAACGAUACGUAGCCGACCUGAGAGGGUGAUCGGCCACACUGGAACUGAGACACGGUCCAGACUCCUACGGGAGGCAGCAGUAGGGAAUCUUCCGCAAUGGGCGAAAGCCUGACGGAGCAACGCCGCGUGAGUGAUGAAGGUCUUCGGAGCGUAAAACUCUGUUAUCAGGGAAGAACAAAUGUGUAAGUAACUGUGCACAUCUUGACGGUACCUGAUCAGAAAGCCACGGCUAACUACGUG
Molecule: ribosomal RNA, 497 nt
Filed under: uncultured bacterium
Lineage: Bacteria
Description: partial 16S ribosomal RNA
Rfam family: Bacterial small subunit ribosomal RNA
Source: RNAcentral